Molecule: ribosomal RNA, 546 nt
Filed under: uncultured crenarchaeote
Lineage: Archaea; Thermoproteati; Thermoproteota
Description: bacterial SSU rRNA
Rfam family: Archaeal small subunit ribosomal RNA
Source: RNAcentral
CUGGAGCNCAGNGCGAAAACUUCGCAAUACGCGAAAGCUUGACGGGGCUAUCCCGAGUGCCAUCUGCUGAGGAUGGCUUUUACCUAGUAUAGAUAGCUGGGGGAAUAAGGAGAGGGCAAGUCUGGUGUCAGCCGCCGCGGUAAUACCAGCUCUCCGAGUUGUGGGGAUGUUUAUUGGGCCUGAAGCAUCCGUAGCCGGCUGGGCAAGUCCCCUGUUAAAUCCAGCGACUAAUCGUUGGUCUGCGGGGGAUACUGUUCGGCUAGGGGGCGGGAGAGGCCGUCGGUAUUCUUGGGGUAGGGGUGAAAUCCUAUAAUCCCAGGARGACCACCAGUGGCGAAGCUGUCGGCUAGAACGCGCCCGACGGUGARGGAUGAAAGCUGGGGGARCGAACCGGAUUARAUACCCGGGUAGUCCCAGCUGUAAACGAUGCARGCUARGUGUUAGGGCGGCUACGUGCCGCUCUAGUGCCGCARGGAARCUGUUAAGCCUGCCGCCUGGGGAGUACGGCCGCAAGGCUGAAACUUAAAGGAAUUGGCGGGGGAACAA